GGGGUCGACUGGUUUUGAACCGAAUGAAACUAAUAAUUAUCAGCCAGAGAGAUAACUGUAAACUAAGGUGAAUUUAUUUAAACGGAAACGAUACAGAUAAUACCCAAUUAAAAGCUAAUAUGACUGUUGUUCACAACAUUCUUAAUGGAUCAGAUGCCUUAAUUGGUAGCUCAGUACAGAAAUUAGCAAUGGUAGCAUAAACCAAUAGACGAAAAAAGGUUAAUAGUAGUCAUAUGCAUAAACUUAUACCAGUAACCUUGAAAGACCCGAAAUAUAGGGGAUUUGCAUGACAUUUAUAUGUUCGCUAGUCUUAAACAUCCAUAUGGUGCCCUAUGUAGUGAAGCUGUAGUAUAAGUUUAAUUAUUUUUUAAUUAUAAAUCUAGCGUAAAGAGUAUAAACAAACGUGAAGCUGUAUAGUAUAAUUAUUAACUUAAUUUGUGUGACGGGGGUUCGAAUCCCCCCGACUCCACUG
Molecule: transfer-messenger RNA, 472 nt
Filed under: Bacteriophage sp.
Description: Phage Cellulophaga Standard tmRNA
Rfam family: transfer-messenger RNA
About the family: Bacterial tmRNA, also known as 10Sa RNA or SsrA, is named for its dual tRNA and mRNA-like properties.
Source: RNAcentral